UACGUAGGGGGCAAGCGUUGACCGGAAUUACUGGGCGUAAAGCGCGCGUAGGCGGCCUCUUAAGUCUGAUGUGAAAGCCCCCGGCUCAACCGGGGAGGGGCAUUGGAAACUGGGAGGCUUGAGUAUAGGAGAGAAGAGUGGAAUUCCACGUGUAGCGGUGAAAUGCGUAGAGAUGUGGAGGAACACCAGUGGCGAAGGCGACUCUCUGGCCAAUAACUGACGCUGAGGCGCGAGAGCGUGGGGAGCAAACAGG
This 253-nucleotide unclassified non-coding RNA is filed under the name uncultured Caryophanales bacterium. RNAcentral's name for it is "uncultured Bacillales bacterium contains 16S-23S intergenic spacer region". It matches the Rfam family "Bacterial small subunit ribosomal RNA", at positions 524 to 776 of the family's 1533-position model. Lineage: Bacteria; Bacillati; Bacillota; Bacilli; Caryophanales. The record is from RNAcentral.